This 492-nucleotide ribosomal RNA is filed under the name uncultured bacterium. RNAcentral's name for it is "partial 16S ribosomal RNA". It matches the Rfam family "Bacterial small subunit ribosomal RNA", at positions 29 to 507 of the family's 1533-position model. The record is from RNAcentral.
AGUGAACGCUGGCGGUAGGCCUAACACAUGCAAGUCGAACGGCAGCACAGUAAGAGCUUGCUCUUACGGGUGGCGAGUGGCGGACGGGUGAGGAAUACAUCGGAAUCUACUUUUUCGUGGGGGAUAACGUAGGGAAACUUACGCUAAUACCGCAUACGACCUACGGGUGAAGGCAGGGGAUCUUCGGACCUUGCGCGAUUGAAUGAGCCGAUGUCGGAUUAGCUAGUUGGCGGGGUAAAGGCCCACCAAGGCGACGAUCCGUAGCUGGUCUGAGAGGAUGAUCAGCCACACUGGAACUGAGACACGGUCCAGACUCCUACGGGAGGCAGCAGUGGGGAAUAUUGGACAAUGGGCGCAAGCCUGAUCCAGCCAUACCGCGUGGGUGAAGAGGGCCUUCGGGUUGUAAAGCCCUUUUGUUGGGAAAGAAAAGCAGCAGGUUAAUACCCCGCUGUUCUGACGGUACCCAAAGAAUAAGCACCGGCUAACUUCGUG